This is a small nuclear RNA of Erinaceus europaeus (western European hedgehog), 100 nucleotides long. The record is from Ensembl. NCBI's taxonomy places the organism in Eukaryota, Metazoa, Chordata, Mammalia, Eulipotyphla, Erinaceidae.
GUGCUCGCUUUGGCAGCAUAUUAAAAUUGGAAUGAUACAGAGAUUAGCAUGGCCCCUGCACAAGGAUGACAUGAAAAUUCGUGAAGGGUUUCAUACUCUG